RNAcentral lists this ribosomal RNA (497 nucleotides) under uncultured bacterium. RNAcentral's name for it is "partial 16S ribosomal RNA". It matches the Rfam family "Bacterial small subunit ribosomal RNA", at positions 28 to 507 of the family's 1533-position model. The record is from RNAcentral.
GAUGAACGCUGGCGGCGUGCCUAAUACAUGCAAGUCGAGCGAACAGACGAGGAGCUUGCUCCUCUGACGUUAGCGGCGGACGGGUGAGUAACACGUGGAUAACCUACCUAUAAGACUGGGAUAACUUCGGGAAACCGGAGCUAAUACCGGAUAAUAUAUUGAACCGCAUGGUUCAAUAGUGAAAGACGGUUUUGCUGUCACUUAUAGAUGGAUCCGCGCCGCAUUAGCUAGUUGGUAAGGUAACGGCUUACCAAGGCAACGAUGCGUAGCCGACCUGAGAGGGUGAUCGGCCACACUGGAACUGAGACACGGUCCAAACUCCUACGGGAGGCAGCAGUAGGGAAUCUUCCGCAAUGGGCGAAAGCCUGACGGAGCAACGCCGCGUGAGUGAUGAAGGUCUUCGGAUCGUAAAACUCUGUUAUUAGGGAAGAACAAAUGUGUAAGUAACUAUGCACGUCUUGACGGUACCUAGUCAGAAAGCCACGGCUAACUACGUG